RNAcentral lists this ribosomal RNA (465 nucleotides) under uncultured bacterium. RNAcentral describes it as "partial 16S ribosomal RNA". It matches the Rfam family "Bacterial small subunit ribosomal RNA", at positions 28 to 523 of the family's 1533-position model. The record is from RNAcentral.
GAUAAACGCUGGCGGCGUGCUUCAGGCAUGCAAGUCGAACGGACACUACGGUGUCAGUGGCGGACGGGUGAGUAACACGUAAGUAACCUGCCCAGAAGUGGGGAAUAACUGGCCGAAAGGCCGGCUAAUACCGCAUGUGAUGGCUCUUCCCUGGAGGGGUCAUGAAAGGAUUUAUUCGCUUCUGGAGGGGCUUGCGGCCGAUUAGCUAGUUGGUGGGGUGAUGGCCUACCAAGGCUGCGAUCGGUAGCUGGUCUGAGAGGACGGUCAGCCACACGGGGACUGAGAUACGGCCCCGACUCCUACGGGAGGCAGCAGCUAGGAAUCUUGGGAAUGGGCGAAAGCCUGACCCAGCAACGCCGCGUGGGCGAUGAAGGCCUUCGGGUUGUAAAGCCCUUUUGCGGGGGAAGAUGAUGACGGUACCCCGCGAAUAAGCCACGGCUAACUACGUGCCAGCCGCCGCAGUAA